RNAcentral lists this ribosomal RNA (253 nucleotides) under uncultured bacterium. RNAcentral describes it as "partial 16S ribosomal RNA". It matches the Rfam family "Bacterial small subunit ribosomal RNA", at positions 524 to 776 of the family's 1533-position model. The record is from RNAcentral.
UACGAAGGGGGCUAGCGUUGCUCGGAAUCACUGGGCGUAAAGGGUGCGUAGGCGGGUCUUUAAGUCAGGGGUGAAAUCCUGAAGCUCAACUCCAGAACUGCCUUUGAUACUGAGGAUCUUGAGUUCGGGAGAGGUGAGUGGAACUGCGAGUGUAGAGGUGAAAUUCGUAGAUAUUCGCAAGAACACCAGUGGCGAAGGCGGCUCACUGGCCCGAUACUGACGCUGAGGCACGAAAGCGUGGGGAGCAAACAGG